ACUCCUACGGGAGGCAGCAGUGGGGAAUUUUGGACAAUGGGGGCAACCCCGAUCCAGCCAUGCCGCGUGAGUGAAGAAGGCCUUCGGGUUGUAAAGCUCUUUCGGCCGGGAAGAAAUCGUGUUCUCUAACAUAGGACAUGGAUGACGGUACCGGACUAAGAAGCACCGGCUAACUACGUGCCAGCAGCCGCGGUAAUACGUAGGGUGCGAGCGUUAAUCGGAAUUACUGGGCGUAAAGCGUGCGCAGGCGGUUCUGUAAGACAGAUGUGAAAUCCCCGGGCUUAACCUGGGAACUGCGUUUGUGACUGCAAGGCUAGAGUACGGCAGAGGGGGGUGGAAUUCCUGGUGUAGCAGUGAAAUGCGUAGAUAUCAGGAGGAACACCGAUGGCGAAGGCAGCCCCCUGGGCCUGUACUGACGUUCAUGCACGAAAGCGUGGGGAGCAAACAGGAUUAGAUACCCUGGUAGUC
RNAcentral lists this ribosomal RNA (468 nucleotides) under uncultured bacterium. RNAcentral's name for it is "bacterial SSU rRNA". It matches the Rfam family "Bacterial small subunit ribosomal RNA", at positions 335 to 795 of the family's 1533-position model. The record is from RNAcentral.